This is a non-coding RNA of Schizosaccharomyces pombe (fission yeast), 492 nucleotides long. The record is from the annotation of a GenBank genome assembly. Lineage: Eukaryota; Fungi; Ascomycota; Schizosaccharomycetes; Schizosaccharomycetales; Schizosaccharomycetaceae.
GGCCUUGCAUGAGACCAGCUAUUCUAUUGCUUCAAAUUUUCUUCAAGUUGGUUGAAUUAUGCGACUUUUCUCCUGCUUUGACCCAGUAUGUGUUAACUGAAAACAUACCUGUUUUUAGAAGAUGAUUUACAAUUUGAGAUAAGCCGUACCGCUUUAAAGAUGUAGGAACAAAAAUCGGCGUGUCACCAACAGCUAAAUCCUCAUUUCUAGUAGUAAAACGGACUUGAACUUGGCCUGAAGGAGCGCUUUGGGCAUCCAUUCUGUUGUUGGUGGAAGGAGUGUCGAAAAGAUCAAAAUUUCCAGUACCAAAAAAAUGAGGAUAAUGACUUUUGGCUGAAUUGAUCAAGAUGUUACGAGACUGUUUUUUAAGAAUUUUCAAGUUUAAUCAACCCAAUUCGUAUUCAUCGAUAGCGGUCCUAAUUCAGCUUUUUUUUUUGAGUAGAAAAGUAACAGUUGAACAAAAUCUAAGAAUAACAAAAAUAAUAUUAGAAG